Neolamprologus brichardi is the source of this 260-nucleotide ribozyme. It matches the Rfam family "RNase MRP". From Rfam's summary of the family: RNase MRP is an enzymatically active ribonucleoprotein with two distinct roles in eukaryotes. In mitochondria it plays a direct role in the initiation of mitochondrial DNA replication. In the nucleus it is involved in precursor rRNA processing, where it cleaves the internal transcribed spacer 1 between 18S and 5.8S rRNAs. Lineage: Eukaryota; Metazoa; Chordata; Actinopteri; Cichliformes; Cichlidae. The record is from Ensembl.
GGGCAUUCAGAAGGCUUGCACUCUGGGCUACAUACAGGGAACCUGGUUUCUCCUCUCAUCGCCCAGGGGAAAGUCCCCGGACACGUGGCAGAAAGUGCCCUGGCUUGAAACCAGUAUCGAUCUGUGCUCCACCACUAAUGAGCUGAGAUGUUCUGCUGAACUGAGCUCGGUGAUCGCAGGUCGAAUUUGUCAGCGUUGAUAGUUAUGCAAGAAAGCUGCUAGUAACGCCUUAACAGAACGGGGCUCAUUCUCCGAAUGCU